This 440-nucleotide ribosomal RNA is filed under the name uncultured bacterium. RNAcentral describes it as "partial 16S ribosomal RNA". It matches the Rfam family "Bacterial small subunit ribosomal RNA", at positions 338 to 795 of the family's 1533-position model. The record is from RNAcentral.
CCUACGGGUGGCAGCAGUGGAGAAUAUUGCACAAUGGGGGAAACCCUGAUGCAGCGACGCCGCGUGAAGGAAGAAGUAUUUCGGUAUGUAAACUUCUAUCAGCAGGGAAGAAAAUGACGGUACCUGAGUAAGAAGCCCCGGCUAACUACGUGCCAGCAGCCGCGGUAAUACGUAGGGGGCAAGCGUUAUCCGGAUUUACUGGGUGUAAAGGGAGCGUAGACGGCAGUGCAAGUCUGGAGUGAAAGGCGGGGGCUCAACCCCCGGACUGCUCUGGAAACUGUACGGCUGGAGUGCAGGAGAGGUAAGUGGAAUUCCUAGUGUAGCGGUGAAAUGCGUAGAUAUUAGGAGGAACACCAGUGGCGAAGGCGGCUUACUGGACUGUAACUGACGUUGAGGCUCGAAAGCGUGGGGAGCAAACAGGAUUAGAUACCCGUGUAGUC